RNAcentral lists this ribosomal RNA (253 nucleotides) under uncultured bacterium. RNAcentral's name for it is "partial 16S ribosomal RNA". It matches the Rfam family "Bacterial small subunit ribosomal RNA", at positions 524 to 776 of the family's 1533-position model. The record is from RNAcentral.
UACGUAGGGUGCAGGCGUUAAUCGGAAUUACUGGGCGGAAAGCGUGCGCAGGCGGUUUGCUAAGACAGGUGUGAAAUCCCCGGGCUUAACCUGGGAACUGCGCUUGUUACUGGCAAGCUGGAGUGUGGCAGAGGGGGGUGGAAUUCCACGUGUAGCAGUGAAAUGCGUAGAGAUGUGGAGGAACACCGAUGGCGAAGGCAGCCCCCUGGGCUAACACUGACGCUCAUGCACGAAAGCGUGGGGAGCAAACAGG